CGGCAGGUCUUACACGACCAGCUCCUGCAGACUCCCCCAGGGCCGGAAGGCAGCAAGGGUAAGCGGUUGUAGCGGUGCGAUGUAAGUAAUCUGCCGAUU
This 99-nucleotide signal recognition particle RNA is filed under the name Chitinophagaceae bacterium. RNAcentral's name for it is "signal recognition particle sRNA small type". It matches the Rfam family "Bacteroidales small SRP". Rfam says of the family: The non-coding component of the signal recognition particle in Bacteroides The record is from RNAcentral. Lineage: Bacteria; Pseudomonadati; Bacteroidota; Chitinophagia; Chitinophagales; Chitinophagaceae.